UACGGGGGGGGCAAGCGUUGUUCGGAAUUACUGGGCGUAAAGCGCGUGUAGGCGGUUGCCCAAGUCGGGGGUGAAAGCCUUGAGCUCAACUCAAGAAAUGCACUCGGUACUGGGUGACUAGAGGACCGGAGAGGAUAGUGGAAUUCCCAGUGUAGUGGUGAAAUACGUAGAGAUUGGGAAGAGCACCAGUGGCGAAGGCGGCUAUCUGGACGGUUUCUGACGCUAAGACGCGAAAGCGUGGGGAGCAAACAGG
Molecule: ribosomal RNA, 253 nt
Filed under: uncultured bacterium
Lineage: Bacteria
Description: partial 16S ribosomal RNA
Rfam family: Bacterial small subunit ribosomal RNA
Source: RNAcentral